AGAUCAUCCUAGCUAUUAGAAAAUACUCAGACUUACUCAUCAGCACAAUAUAUCCUCUAAAGUUGAGACAUAUCAAAAAGUUGGAUGGAACCCCACGCUAAGAGACAUGCAAUCAAAGCUUCAAGAAACAAAAGCGAAAGAAACUUCACUGAGAAUACUUUCCAUCUCUAUCUUGAGAACAGUGAAAGAAGAUAGCGGUGGCCAUGUAUAUACAAAACUGCAAUGAUGCCGUGCCCCAUGUAACUUUUCUUUUGGAUUCAAACUCAUAAUCUUAUAAUUUUAUGACUUUCCUAACAAUGUAUCAAAACUCAUUAACGGAUUAUAGAUUUGGUUAAAUAGCUAAAGGUAAUGAUAACUUGGAAGUUUAGAUAUU
RNAcentral lists this unclassified non-coding RNA (373 nucleotides) under Hevea brasiliensis (rubber tree). The record is from RNAcentral. Lineage: Eukaryota; Viridiplantae; Streptophyta; Magnoliopsida; Malpighiales; Euphorbiaceae.